GUAGGGGGCAAGCGUUAUCCGGAUUUACUAGGCGUAAAGAGCGCGUAGGCGGCUUCUUAAGUUGGCAGUGAAAGAUUCCGGCUCAACUGGGAUAAGCCUGUCAAUACUGGGAGGCUUGAGGGCACCAGAGGAAAGUGGAACUCGCGGUGUAGCGGUGAAAUGCGCAGAUAUCAGGAAGAACACCAGUGGCGAAGGCGGCUUUCUGGGCUGUUACUGACACUGAGGCGCGAAAGCUAGGGGAGCGAACAGGAUUAGAUACCCUGGUAGUCCUAGCUGUAAACGAUGGAUACUAGGUGUGGGAAGUUAUCGACGCUUUCCGUGCCGAAGCUAACGCAUUAAGUAUCCCGCCUGGGGAGUACGGCCGCAAGGCUA
This 372-nucleotide ribosomal RNA is filed under the name uncultured bacterium. RNAcentral's name for it is "bacterial SSU rRNA". It matches the Rfam family "Bacterial small subunit ribosomal RNA", at positions 527 to 896 of the family's 1533-position model. The record is from RNAcentral.